This 253-nucleotide ribosomal RNA is filed under the name uncultured bacterium. RNAcentral's name for it is "partial 16S ribosomal RNA". It matches the Rfam family "Bacterial small subunit ribosomal RNA", at positions 524 to 776 of the family's 1533-position model. The record is from RNAcentral.
UACAGAGGGUGCGAGCGUUGUCCGGAAUCACUGGGCGUAAAGGGCGCGUAGGCGGCCAGGUAGGUCAGCUGUGAAAACUCGAGGCUCAACCUCGAGCUGUCGGCUGAAACCAUCUGGCUAGAGUCCGGAAGAGGAGAAUGGAAUUCCCGGUGUAGCGGUGGAAUGCGUAGAGAUCGGGAAGAACACCCGUGGCGAAGGCGGCCGGCUGGGCCGGAUCCGACGCUGAGGCGCGAAAGCGUGGGGAGCAAACAGG